AGUAGUGUGGCCUAGUGGAUAAAGCAUAGGGCUGGAAGUCAGAAGGACCUGGGUUCUAAUCCCAGCUCUGCCA
This 73-nucleotide transfer RNA is filed under the name Ornithorhynchus anatinus (platypus). It matches the Rfam family "tRNA". Rfam says of the family: Transfer RNA (tRNA) molecules are approximately 80 nucleotides in length. Their secondary structure includes four short double-helical elements and three loops (D, anti-codon, and T loops). Lineage: Eukaryota; Metazoa; Chordata; Mammalia; Monotremata; Ornithorhynchidae. The record is from Rfam by way of RNAcentral.